AUUGAACGCUGGCGGCAUGCCUUACACAUGCAAGUCGAACGGCAGCAUGGAGAGCUUGCUCUCUGAUGGCGAGUGGCGAACGGGUGAGUAAUGCAUCGGAACGUACCGUGUAAUGGGGGAUAACGUAGCGAAAGUUACGCUAAUACCGCAUACGACCUGAGGGUGAAAGCAGGGGAUCGCAAGACCUUGCGUUAUACGAGCGGCCGAUGUCAGAUUAGCUAGUUGGUGAGGUAAAGGCUCACCAAGGCGACGAUCUGUAGCGGGUCUGAGAGGAGUAUCCGCCACACUGGGACUGAGACAGGGCCCAGACUCCUACGGGAGGCAGCAGUGGGGAAUUUUGGACAAUGGGGGCAACCCUGAUCCAGCCAUGCCGCGUGAGUGAAGAAGGCCUUCGGGUUGUAAAGCUCUUUCGGCCGGGAAGAAAUCGCACAGGCUAAUACUCUGUGUGGAUGACGGUACCGGCAUAAGAAGCACCGGCUAACUACGUGCCAGCCGCCGCCGUAA
RNAcentral lists this ribosomal RNA (504 nucleotides) under uncultured bacterium. RNAcentral's name for it is "partial 16S ribosomal RNA". It matches the Rfam family "Bacterial small subunit ribosomal RNA", at positions 30 to 523 of the family's 1533-position model. The record is from RNAcentral.